AAAGCUCGAUCUUCGUCUAUCUUCUUGGCCGAAAGUUUUGAGGCUGGACGGUUUCCAUCAUCCCCUCCCUCUUGAAAAGGAUCUGUCCUCAGAUCUGAAUGAUGCUCAAUGACAGCAACCUCUGUUUAUUUGAUGGUUUCCUCCUGGGUCAAAUGUCAAUCUGCAAUAAACAUCAAACAAACAUGAGAUAAAUUUCCUUUUUAGAAGAAAAUUAAAAGAAAAGAAAACUAAACAAAAAUAAGUCCCCUUUUCUUUAAAAUUCUUUUUAAAGAAAAACAUAAGGCCCAUUUCAAAAAUAUUUUUGUUCACUUUGUGUUGUUUAUUGCCCAAGCUAGGCAACAACAUCACAAAGUGUUGUUUUUGAUCUUUUUGUGAAGAAGAAUGAGCAUUAUAUAAUUGAAAAGAAGAGUUCAAAGUAUUGCAAUCCACCUUUAAGGAUUCUUUCUCAACCAUGCUUUCAGGGGGUGUCAUAAAAGACUCUUCUUCUUUGUGGGUUUCCUCUUCUUCUUCCUUUUCAAUCAAACAUUCUUCUGUAUUUUCUGUGGAGGAAAUAUUUAUAUCUAUAUUUGGUUCAGCUCCAAACAUAGAUUUUUCUUCAAGCACAUCCUCACAAGGGUUUUUGUACCGCCCUGGUGGUCGGGUGUGAUGACGUGGCAUCCUGCUACAGUAUAGGCGUGUGGACAAGGCGCCAAGUUGGCAGAAGGGAAGGAAGUCGGGGGGCUCGCGUAGUCGCCAGUUGUUAUAUUGGCGUGUUCUGAUCUCCAGCUUACCAGAAUCGGCGAUCACCAGGUUAAGGAUAAAGUCGCCAGAUGUAGAUUCAGGCGACCUAGUCAUUGGAGAUCGCCAGAGCAAACACAUCGCCAAACAUGAAGAAGAAGCAGAUUAUGAAGGCGGCCGGCGAGACCACAGGGAAGGUGUAUGAAGGCCCCUAACUCGCCAGUUCAAGUAGAGAUCGCACUCCCAAGUUAGCUAUGCACUGGGCAGUACCAUGCAUAAGUAACUUAGCCAAAAUGAGAGUAGAAGCAGCACCAAGUCAAGGAGCCUCCAGAUGAUGGCACGUGUACAGUUGGAUGCGAGCCACGUGUCCAAAUCUGUAACUGCCAGGAGAGAGAAAGCCACCAGGUAUAUAAGAGUUCUUAACGAACUUUCUGAGGUACGCACGUUCAGUUCAUACACUUUACGCUUGCGAGUUAGAGCUGACUGUGAGAGAGGAUUUGCACGGUUCUUGUUCUCUUGGUAUUUGGUGAUACCGUCACUGACUUGAGCGUUGGAGUGCGAUCGGCCGCAGCGGCGCCGUACUGUUUCUUUGCAGGUUCUUGAAGUAGAUCCCGAAGAGGAACGGAGGUGAGAAGCGGUGCGCACGUCGAUCCCUUGACGAGGCAGUUUCCAGCGUUCCGGUCAACAGGUAGGAUCAGUUUUCUAGAGAAGAUAAAAUGUUAUCGAUAUCUGAUUCAACUCGAGAAAAAGAGUUUUUUUUACUUUCCUUUUUCUCAUUCUUUUCUUUCUUUCUGACAAGAGCUUGGAAUUUUUCUCUAAACUCUUUGUCUCUUCUAACAUAUUCUUUUUCUCUGUAUAUAAAAUUUCUUCCUUUUUCUAGAAGCUCUUUCAUUUCUUCUCUAAGCUUUUUGUUUUUCACAUAUGAAGGUGGAACAAACUUUCUUCUCAUACACAUCUUCAAUUCAUCCCAAUUCAAUAUUUCUGAUUUUCUACCAAUUCUAACAUCUGCUUCCCUUUGUAUCCACCAAGACCUAGCAUAUUCUUGAAAACUUAGGGUAGCCAUGGAAAAUUUUCUAAAUUCAUCCAAUUGAUGUUUUUCAAAGAUUUGAUCAACUUUUGUUUCCCAUUCUAAAUAUGCUUCAACAUUUUUAUUUCCAUCAAAGUAAGGAAUGUAUACUUCAGACUCAGUAGAAUAAUAUAAACUUCUAGGCUCAAAACACAUCCCUUCCUUUUUUUUAUAAUGAGGAUUAUAAAUCUUUCUACUAUGACAAGAAGUAUACAUAGACAUAUUAAGCUUUGUAUUUAAAAGAUUUUUCAUAAGAAGGAAAGUGAGUUUAGCACACAAGGUAAAUUCCCAGGAAAGAGAGGUGGGUCACAAUGGACACUCUUAAGUACCAAGUCUUUCCUAGCCAGAACUUAUCCCAAUGCACUUCACAAAUCUCCUUCCAAUGAAAACUUCUUCAACACAAACAAAGAGUUUUCUAAAGAAAGAAACUAAAAGAAAGCUUUUAAAAUCUAAGAAUUUAAAUUGCAAAAAUUUAAACUAGACGACUCCUAAUGGUGAGGCUUGUAGGCACUUGUGAACCUUCAAGACACACUCACCGUCUAAAGCGUGUAUCUAAUAAGAAAAUUAAAGAAAACUUGUAGGAGAUGGAAGAACACCAAAGGCUCUUCCAAGACACCUAAAGUAAAGAUAAUGGCCAAAUUACAAAACAAUUGAAAUCACACAAAAUUUUAAAAAAUAAUCUUCAAAGUUCUCUUCUCUUUUCUCACAAGUGUUUCUCUCCAAGCCUUUACUUGUUUGUCCUCCAAAGGUGAGUACCCCUUGCAAAGUCCUUUGCCUUCUCUUAGGAUGCUACCUAGAAGUUAGCUCAAUUCUCACAAAGAACAAAUUCAAGGUAUAUUCCACUUCAAGAGGUCAAUAAUAAAAGCAAUAAAAGCUCAAUUUGAAGAGUGAAACUCAAAGGAGAUUAGAGAUGACAAACACAAAGAUUAUCCAUAAAAUCAAGACAAGCAAGAAAUUAAAGGUUUUCAAGAAAGUAAGCACUCAAAAGAAGCACCUAAAGAUUGGCACUAGAAUGAUGAAAAUUCUUAGUAGACCAUGAAAUCCAAAAUGUUGC
RNAcentral lists this long non-coding RNA (2837 nucleotides) under Phaseolus vulgaris (common bean). RNAcentral describes it as "long non-coding RNA (PVUL_LNC002241)". Lineage: Eukaryota; Viridiplantae; Streptophyta; Magnoliopsida; Fabales; Fabaceae. The record is from RNAcentral.